GACGAACGCUGGCGGCGUGCUUAACACAUGCAAGUCGAACGGAAAGGCCCUGCUUUUGUGGGGUGCUCGAGUGGCGAACGGGUGAGUAACACGUGAGUAACCUGCCCUUGACUUUGGGAUAACUUCAGGAAACUGGGGCUAAUACCGGAUAGGAGCUCCUGCUGCAUGGUGGGGGUUGGAAAGUUUCGGCGGUUGGGGAUGGACUCGCGGCUUAUCAGCUUGUUGGUGGGGUAGUGGCUUACCAAGGCUUUGACGGGUAGCCGGCCUGAGAGGGUGACCGGCCACAUUGGGACUGAGGUACGGCCCAGACUCCUACGGGAGGCAGCAGUGGGGAAUAUUGCACAAUGGGCGGAAGCCUGAUGCAGCAACGCCGCGUGCGGAAUGACGGCCUUCGGGUUGUAAACCGCUUUCGCCUGUGCCGAAGCGUGAGUGACGGUAAUGGGUAAAGAAGCACCGGCUAACUACGUG
Molecule: ribosomal RNA, 468 nt
Filed under: uncultured bacterium
Lineage: Bacteria
Description: partial 16S ribosomal RNA
Rfam family: Bacterial small subunit ribosomal RNA
Source: RNAcentral